AAGUGACGCCAUCCCUGGUGCCCGGCAGGGGACAGGACUUGCCUGGCGGUUGCGUCACAUCCUGUUUCCGCGCGCGGGGUGAUCUCUGUUUGUGUGGCAGACCGUGCAGUCCCGGCUCCCAUAAGCCAUGUUCUAUUCUGUGAUUAUAAGAUGUACAGGCAGCAAGACUAUGUCAUUCAUAUGUGAUAUUACAUAAAAGAUAACAACAAUAAUAAUCAUUACAGAAGAAGAGAGAAGGUCAAAGCUAGUGAUAAGGCAAUAUAAUGUAACAUGUACAAUUACCACCAAAAUUUGUCCAGACAUCUGAUGUAUAGAAUUAUCAUCGAACAAUAAGAAGCAGUUUGUGACUUCUAUAUACAAGUGUCGUAUAAUGAUAAUAAAGCGCGAACAAACAA
This is a long non-coding RNA of Pseudophryne corroboree (corroboree frog), 395 nucleotides long. RefSeq lists it as uncharacterized. Lineage: Eukaryota; Metazoa; Chordata; Amphibia; Anura; Myobatrachidae. The transcript has 2 exons. The record is from RefSeq and is a predicted model, not a curated record.